UUCACCCACAAAAACAUUUAGUAUAUAUCUUAAGGUGGGAGCUGAAUCGAAAAAGAAGAUCAUUAUUUACCGAAUGGCCUGAUCUUAUGUGUAGUCUUGUUUACAUGAGUCUUGGUUAGGAGCUGAGACUAAACUGGCUUCUCUAAAGGAAU
Telopea speciosissima is the source of this 152-nucleotide long non-coding RNA. RefSeq lists it as uncharacterized. NCBI's taxonomy places the organism in Eukaryota, Viridiplantae, Streptophyta, Magnoliopsida, Proteales, Proteaceae. The transcript has 3 exons. The record is from RefSeq and is a predicted model, not a curated record.